Molecule: long non-coding RNA, 5848 nt
Filed under: Homo sapiens (human)
Lineage: Eukaryota; Metazoa; Chordata; Mammalia; Primates; Hominidae
Description: non-protein coding lnc-HDAC9-10:4
Source: RNAcentral
AGGCUGUCGGCAGUCGGCUUGGCGCUGACUUGUAGGACCCCGGGACCGGGCGCCUGGGCCAACUUGGGACCGCUGGGAGUGCAGAGGGGCCCCAGCGCCCGAGCCUUCCGGGAAUGGACGUGCGCGCCCUUGGGGCCGGCGCAUCAUCCACCGCCCACUAGCGUUGGCCCGCCCUGGGGAGAGGAGAAAAUGCCAGAGGCCGACACUUGACUGAUGGCGCUGCGGACCUCGCUGGUCUUGGGGACAAGGCGGCAGAUUUCCUUUAGAAAAACUUCCCUCUCGCGUCUCCCUGGCCCCGCGGCGACCGAAGAGUUGGGGUUCGGCUUUCUUCUCCUGGGAUUUAAGUGUUAUUUGAAACAGCUCCCUGCGCGGCCCUUUUCUCCUAAACUUUGACAGAAACUUCCCUUUGUCCCUACCAAUCCUCAGUGAGUUCUUUACAGGGGUCCGAGACAGGUUGUAGAUAUGAUGCGGCUUAUCGGCUUUACCCCGAUCCUAGCGGAGUUAGGACUUGCUGAUGUAAUUGGCCAGCACCUGCCUAACAAUGAAGGUUUAGUUAUGCUACAAGUAAUGCACCUCUAAAAAAACGUAAAACAGGCUUUACGUUUUACCUGCUAUCUCCACAGGUUUACUAGCUGCUUAAUACAAUAUGCUUGUAUAUCAAGGUGAGCAAAUUUCAGCAAAUGUCAUUGUAAAUAGUCCCAACUUAAAUGGAAUUGAACUCUGGAACUCAAUGUGCAUAGAAGUCCCUGAGACUGACGCCAUUCUAGAUCUACCACUAGAUGGUUUGCGAUGUACGGAAUUAAAGGCAGUCACUUCUACCUGAAUUGUGAUGAAAGUAGUUUACCUGAACAUGCUGGGAAAGUGUGCUACCCUGUUUUGUAUUAGAAACCAGUUUCCAAGUAAAUUGAAAAGCAAAUUUUCAGACUUGACAUUAAAAACACCUCCAUGUCAUUCUUACAAGAGGUACAAAAGCAUUUUAGAAAACUAAAGCCAGGAGUUUCUUCCCUUUUACCAGAAUCUUUUCCCUCCAUUUAACAAUAGUACUGUUGUGCUAAAUGAAAUUUACUUAAUGUAUUACUCUUACAGUCUCAAAACAAUAAGGGCAUUGCAAACCUUGUAUUAUCUCUAUCGUGUCAAGGAAACAAAACGGUUCAUUUAAGCAGUCAUGCAAAAAAUUCAAGAAAAACUGAUUUUGCUCAAUUCAACUAAUUGAAGCAAAGUAGUUUUUCUUGUUGUUUUAAUCUGCAUUUUGUACAUCAUUUCCACAUUGCUGGACCAGCAAAAUUCUGACCUCUGCAAUACAAUAAAAUGUGUUACUGGUAUUGACAGAUGAAGCCACAAAUAGAAAAUGAGCAUGGAAAUCCUACCUGGACUGAGGUAUCAAAGGAUACCAAGAGAUACUAGAGACAACAAGGAACCUGGAAAAAGAUAGUGUUCCAACCUGUAAAUAAGAAAACAGAGAAGGAGGUUCAUUAAUAUUUAAGAUACCAGCUAGUAAAUUAAAACAGCAAUGUAGUUGUCUGGCUUGAGUAUUCAGUUUUAUUUACUACAUCUUUUUAUCUUUUCUAGAAGCAAGGCAUUAAGUGUUGACACUUGAGUAUUGAACCAAUCUGUGAUAUGACAUGAAUAUGCCUUUAACUUUCAGAAGUUUGUCUACAGACUUACAAGGAAACCAAAAGUAGUCGCUCUUCCAAUGGCUUCCUAAUUUUCUCAGCCUGAGUCUUUUCUGCAACCUAAAAAUCCUAUGCUAGCUGGCCUCCCAAGUCCUACCUCACCUCCACCCCUCUGACCUCAUUUCUGCUAAGCACUUUGUUCCAGUUACACAGACCUGCUCCCUGCUUCUGUAACACCAAGGCAUCUUCUUGCCCUGAGGCCCUUACACUGUGUAUAGUUUCUAUCUGCAAAGAUCUUUCCACCAAAUACCUGCAUGGCUAGAUCUUCCACUUCUGUCCAAUCUUUGCUUAAAAGUCAUCUUUUUUCAAAGAAGCCUACCCUAAUCAUCUCAUUUAAAAUAUUGCCCCUUCCCCAGAAUCCUCCCUUCCUUGCUUCUGUUUUUUUCAUAGUACUUACCUUCUAACCUUCUAACAUCGUCAUUUUCUAUUUUUAUUUUCUAUUGCCUUCCCUCCGCUAGAAUGUAAGCUCCACAAGAUCGGGGAUUUUUUUUUUUUCAUUUUGUUCAAUGUUUCCUUAGUACCUAAAAUACUAGAAUAGUAGAUGGCACAGAGUAGAUGCUCAAUAAAUAUUUCUUAAGUGAAUAAAUGAAUGGGUGAAUCAUUGCCUAAAAGACACUAAAAGGAAAAGACCUAAUUAAAACUAUUUAAAAACAAAAUCCUUGGUGUUGAAAGAUUAAAUUAUUUAAAAGUUGGCCAUUGUGUGUUCUCUUGUCUUCCAAUUAAUAGGAACAUCACUUCUGCCACUGGAAUGUUGAAGUGUAUGACAAUUGUUACUUCCACUAGAAUGCUACAGAAAAGUUUAGGACAAAAUUGUGAGCUAUGCCUUUUCCUUCACCUUUUUUCUUUUCCUUUUUUUAAAUUUGUUGUAGAGAUGUGUUCUCACUAUGUUGCCAGACUAGUCUCUGGACUCCUGGCCUCAAAGAUCCUCAGGCUUUGACCUCCCAAAGUGCUGGGAUUGCAGGAAUGAGCCACCACACCUGGCCUCCUUCACUUUCUUAAAUACAUCUUGGGCAUGAGUCAAAGUUAAUUUCCUAGGAAGGGAAGCAACAAAGCGAAUAAGGUAUACUAUUUAAGAGACUUACGGAAAUUAAGGAGUUAUAUAGUUGGAAAAGAGAAUGCUUAUAGAAACAGCUAGCUUAAAAAAAAAAAGCACCUAAUUUGAUACAGAUUCCAUGUCUUAAAAACAUCCUAUUCAUAUCAGUUGUUACAGAGGAAACCUGGGACAGGGUGAUCUGAGAUGCCUGGUUCUUUGGCUAUCAGAAAUUAAAACAAAGCAAGCUAUCGUAAGGGAUGCAUCUGUGACUGUUACUGCAAAAGGUUUGAUUCCUCAGCAGCAGUGUCCAGUCUGUCUGAUUAACACAGGAAAGCAUGACAAAAAGAGGUAAGAGGCAAAAGUCAAGUGUGUUUUUUGAGACGGAGUCUCGCUCUGUCACCGAGGCUGGAGUGCAGUGGCGCUCUCUGCUCACUGCAAGCUCCGCCUCCCGAGUUCACGCCAUUCUCCUGCCUCAGCCUCCCGAGUAGCUGGGACUACAGGCGCCUGCCACCAUGCCCGGCUAAUUUUUUUUAUUUUUAUUUUUUUAUUUUUAGUAGAGACAGGGUUUCGCCAUGUUAGCCAGGAUGGUCUCCGUCUCCUAACCUUGUGAUCCGCCCGCCUCCACCUCCCAAAGUGCUGGGAUUACAGGCGUGAGCCACCGCGCCCGGCCGUAAGAUGCUUUUAAACAAGCCACUGCCAGUGAUUUCUAAACCUACAAGCAAAAAUUCGGAAUAUCCAAGUUGCCUGUUUUUUAGUUUUGAAACAAAAACAAUUUCUUCUACAUAUUCAGGUUGUCACAAAUUGGCUCUAAUUGCUUUUUGAGAAGCAGGAAAAGUAUGCCUUUAACCUCCUAGGCAAAUUGCAUCUAGCAAACAGUUGUGUCAUUUAAUCUUUUGAUGUCUUAAAGCAUUCUAUUAACUCCAGUUUCUUCAUAAUGCAAUAUUGUCAGUGUCAUCUACCAUCUCUACUGAACAUUAAAUACUAUAUACUCAUUAACAAGGAUUGGUGUCAAAACCUGCAAAUUGGUAUUGAAAUCAUGCAUUGACAACAGAGGAGACAUCCUAAGAACAGAUAAGAGUUGGAUAUCCCGAUUCUUUUUUACAGCUUUAAUAGGGCAGUAGUAAGCAGAAAUCUCAGAGCAUUUAAGAGUACUCUGAAGUCUAGCCCAGCAUGUACUUUUUUCUUGCAUGAUUCUUUUUGAGGCAAUGUUGAGCCAACUCAAGACAGAAAGACAGAAGCAGAAAUAAUAUGAGGCUUUACUAACAAAUGCAGCCAUAACAAAAUAAUAAUGUACACAAAUGCUUUCAAUAUUAGCUCCACAAUGCAAAGAUCUAAAUAGAAAGAACCACAUUAUAAAUUUGUAAAAGUCUAUAAAAUAAUUAAGAGGUAUUACUACAUCAAUGACACCUCAGUCAAUCAUUUUGAAAACAAAAAUUUAGAGCACUUUUCAAACAUUUAAUUCUUAAUUAUGGAUACUGUUUUUCAGUAUCUAUUAUGGGCCAGGCACUGGUGGUAGACAUUUUGCAUGUAUUAUAUUUAACAUUUGAAAAAGACCAUUACAGUAGAUCACUACCCUUAGAGGCCACUAGAGGUUUAGUAAUUUGCACCACAUUACCUAUCAAGGAUUCAUACUAUCAACAUGAUUUAUCACUGGUGAUGUUGACCUUUAUCACCUGAAUGAGAUAGUGUUUGUCAAGUUUCUCCACUGUAAAGUUACCAUUUUCCCCCGUUCUAUGCUAUCCUCCUUGGAUGGAAAUCACUAUGUGCAGCCCACACUUAAAGAGUGGGGAUUUCUGCUUCUCCUUUUGCUGGUGGAAUAUGUAGAUAAAUUAUGUGGCAUUUUUUUUUUGCAUGGGAGAUUUGUCUUUUCUCCCUUUUUAUUUAAUCAUUUAUGUAUAUGAGUAUGGACAUAUAAAUAUUUGUUUUAUACUUUGAGUUAUAAUCUAAUACUACUUUGUUGUUCAAAUUGUCCCAGCUUUGGCCACUGGAGCUCUCUUAGUUGUCCUAUUUCCUUUUAAUAUACUCCCAUCAAUGUGGUAUGGUUUUUUGUUUGGUUAGUUUUGUUUUUAAGCACAUGGUUACUUUCUAGUACUAUAAGAUGCUCUGGGGUCAUCAUGCCCCAGGCCUAGAAUUAGCCAUAUCUUUCAGAAAUCUUGGUUUCUUUUAUUGGAGAAUGGUGUCAGAAACCAAAAUCUGGGCUCAAGAAGUGCUGUUUGCUGCUUCAGUGUCAAUUCUUUUAAGACCUCGUAGCUGACACAGCAAGGAAUUAAAUACUUGUAUAUUAACCCAUGUAUAUAUGCCUAUGUAUAAAUAUUUCUGCAUGUAAUCAUCUGUAUUUAUAUUAAGCUAAAUGUGAAUUCAUACUGGUAUCUCCAACUCUAAUCCAUUAUCAGAUGGAUCAUUCUAGUCUCUUCCCCUAGCUUAUCUGUAUGUAAUUUCCACUUCAACAGUGAGAAACUGACACCUAACAUCUACCAUCCAUUUACUUAAUUGUUCAGUUUGAAAAUACAUAUAUGGCAAUUUCAGAAUUGUUAACCCAUACUCCCAUUGGAAACAAAUUUAUCAACUAGAGUACAUUGCCUACAUGCAGUCCCUUCAGUCUUAUAGACAAAUCAUUCCUAAAGUCACUUAGUUCAGCACCUUUUCUCCCAACCCUUUCAUUGAGGUUGUUUCAUAUGUUUGCAAUACAUUUAAAUUCUCUUGUCAAAGUCAGCAUUCUUUCCUGAGAUCUGCCUACCUCCUAAAUGAUUUGAUUUUUAAUUUGCAUACAUUUUCACUCUUUGUGCUGCAAAGUUCUGCAAGUUCUGACAAAUGCAUUAUGUCAGGUCUCCACUUUAUAGUAUCAUACAGAAUAGUUUCAUAGCCCUAAAACAUAAAGGAAAAGAGAAGUACAUAACAAAAUUGCCUUUACAUAUUUAUCUGUAGACCCAAACAACUGAUCAUUGUAUUGAAUAAACUUCACUUGAAUCAUAGAGAUAUUUAUAUUGAUAUAUAAUAUGUAAUCGAUUUCUCUAUAAUACCUAAUUACCUAAUACUUGUUAAAGUCUUACCAUAUGCUAGUAGCUGUUCUAAGUGCUUCACAAUAAUCCUAUAAGAUAGAAACUGUUAUUUCCAUUUUACAAAUGAGUAAACUGAGGCUCAG